AUACGGAGGAUGCGAGCGUUAUCCGGAUUUAUUGGGUUUAAAGGGAGCGUAGGUGGGAUAUUAAGUCAGCUGUGAAAGUUUGGGGCUCAACCUUAAAAUUGCAGUUGAUACUGGUUUCCUUGAGUACGGUACAGGUGGGCGGAAUUCGUGGUGUAGCGGUGAAAUGCUUAGAUAUCACGAAGAACUCCGAUCGCGAAGGCAGCUCACCGGGCCGGAACUGACACUGAUGCUCGAAAGUGCGGGUAUCAAACAGGAUUAGAUACCCUGGUAGUCCGCACAGUAAACGAUGAAUACUCGCUGUUUGCGAUACACUGUAAGCGGCCAAGCGAAAGCGUUAAGUAUUCCACCUGGGGAGUACGCCGGCAACGGUGAAACUCAAAUGAAUCGACGGGG
RNAcentral lists this ribosomal RNA (393 nucleotides) under uncultured bacterium. RNAcentral's name for it is "partial 16S ribosomal RNA". It matches the Rfam family "Bacterial small subunit ribosomal RNA", at positions 523 to 918 of the family's 1533-position model. The record is from RNAcentral.